Ostrea edulis (European flat oyster) is the source of this 678-nucleotide long non-coding RNA. RefSeq lists it as uncharacterized. NCBI's taxonomy places the organism in Eukaryota, Metazoa, Mollusca, Bivalvia, Ostreida, Ostreidae. The record is from RefSeq and is a predicted model, not a curated record. The transcript is spliced from 4 exons.
CUCAGAUUGUACUGUGUAGAGAUAUAUAUACAUACUUAGAUAUAGCAUUAUCAAUCGAUGUGGAAGUUUUAACAAGAUAAACUCGGGAAUUGAAGCAUUCGUGGAGUCGCUGAGGAUUCUUCGCUUUGUGUUUGACGAAUUACGUGUAAUAACCGCCAGUGUACAAGCGUCGAAGAGAGUACGUCUUGCAGAUACAUUGCAGGGUAAAAGCGUAAUCUAUGAGCUAGAGAUAUGCACGAUAUGCCUUGAAUCGGAGGAUAAAGGUGUUGUGCACUGUGCAGUCAUCAUCAAUGUGAAUGUCUGAUGCCAGUAUGCCCAUAAUGGGGCAGUAUAAGUGUCGAUCUUCAUAUGACAGCAAGUUUUAAAAGGCAGCUCGAACAAUGACAAUUAAAGAGGCCUGUGCAAAUGUUGGGAUUUCCCUCUUGAAUGUGAUGCAAGGGAUGGUUUGCUGCACCUCAAAACACUGUAUGCAUAUUGGUAUCAGAUUCAAGGACAACAACACCUGAAAUACACCCAAAUGCUGUGAUUUGCAAGUGUGGACUCUUAUUGACACUCAAAGAGUUCACAUUGACAAAGAUGUGCUAUGGACAACAAACAUUUUAAGCGUGAUAGAGUUUAAUUAUACUAAUAAAGUAUUUUUUCAGCCUUUAUAAUAUUAGUAAAUUCUUACAAUUCCAU